RNAcentral lists this ribosomal RNA (253 nucleotides) under uncultured bacterium. RNAcentral's name for it is "partial 16S ribosomal RNA". It matches the Rfam family "Bacterial small subunit ribosomal RNA", at positions 524 to 776 of the family's 1533-position model. The record is from RNAcentral.
UACGGAGGAUCCAAGCGUUAUCCGGAUUCACUGGGUUUAAAGGGUACGUAGGUGGAAUGACAAGUCAGUGGUGAAAACCUGCAGCUUAACUGUAGAACUGCCAUUGAUACUGUUAUUCUUGAGUACAUUUGAUGUGAGCGGAAUGUGUCAUGUAGCGGUGAAAUGCUUAGAUAUGACACAGAACACCAAUUGCGAAGGCAGCUCACAAAACUGUAACUGACACUGAGGCACGAAAGCGUGGGGAGCAAACAGG